This 1461-nucleotide long non-coding RNA is filed under the name Piliocolobus tephrosceles (Ugandan red Colobus). RNAcentral's name for it is "lncRNA (ENSPTEG00000000542.1)". The record is from RNAcentral. Lineage: Eukaryota; Metazoa; Chordata; Mammalia; Primates; Cercopithecidae.
AUAGGUACAAGGAUAAGCUGGACACAAAAAAAAAAAAAAAAAAAAAUUACAACACACAUGCAUAUAUACAUAUAUAUAUAUAUAUAUAUGUGUGUGUACACGUGAGCAAACUGUUUUAAACACAAGUUUAUGUAACAAUCUGCUUACCUUUUGCAGACACACUGUUGAUAUAAUACUAAAAGUUGUCAUGCCAUAUUUCCAAGUUAUAGAUAUAAACGAUUUUAAAACACCCACAUCUAUUACUGGAACAUGACAUCUAUAGAUAAAAUUAACGCGUAUGUUUUUAUUGCAUAUUACAUAUUAUAUAUUAAAUAUUAUAUAUUAUAUAUUACAUAUUAUAUAUUAUAUAUUACAUAUUAUAUAUUAUAAUAAAAUUACUCAGUUUAUUUGUUCAUGUUUAUUCAUCCGUUUAUUCUUCCGUUUAUUCAUCUAUUUAUUUAUUAAAUUAACAAUUUAUUUUUAUAUUACUAAUUAUAUAUAACCUUCAGCUGUUUAAAAGAUCACCUUUCAAAAACAGAGCUAGACUACAAAAAAGAGCAAAGUGUAGAGAAUUUACAAAACUUAUUUAAUCGAUUUAAUUAUAUAGAAUUUAACAUUGGAAAUAAUAUAUUAAAUGAACAAACAUAUGUUAAUUUACUUUUGUAUAACCCAUUAGAUAUAUCAUUAAACAUACAAAUAAAUACUAUCAAGUAUUACAUUUUCCCUAUUUUACCACCAUAUAUCAAAAAUGAAGAAGAAAAGAUGGCCCAGUUUUUAUACGUAGACAAUACAUUCCGUCAUUAUAUGAGGUGUUUAGAUAGUUUUGAUAUUUAUCCUAAAAAAUUCGAAAUAAAAAAAAGACAGCCAAAACAAUCACUUUAAUAUAUAAGCAUAAAUAUGUUGGCUUUCAUAAUAUGCCAUUAAUAGUUGAAGUAGAAAAUGGGAAAAUAGUUCCUUUGAAUGUUUGCUCCUUAACGCUUUAUCCCAACAUGCCUCCCAUUAAUUGGAUGAAUACUAAGAAUUUUAAUCAACAUAUUUUGACUUUAAAAAACGAGUGUAUCAUAAAUGUAGAUCUGCUAAAUGAUAGUGAAUUAGACAUAUUUUAUGAAAUGCAACAUAACGAAAAUUUUACUAUUUUAAACCCUAAAGGAAUAAUUAAAAGAAGGAAGUAUAUUUCUCUUUUUAUUUUAAUUUCUAGAUUGUCACCAUCAAUAAUGAAAGAAAACUUAAUAUUAAAUUCUUAUUUUAAACAUUUGCAAAAAGAUAUAGUAAUAUAUAUAUAUAUAUAUAUAUAUACAUUAUACUUAUGUUUACAUACAUGCAUAAUAUUACAUUAAUUUAUAUAUUUUUUUUUAUCCAUACCAAUGUGUAUAUAUAUAAGUACAUAUACUUAUACAUAUUAACCAUAAUAUAAUUAUUAUUAUUUUUUUUUUUUUUUUUUUUUAUAGAUGCUUAAUAAAAUACAACUAGAAGUAAAUAUCA